Molecule: ribosomal RNA, 234 nt
Filed under: Escherichia coli
Lineage: Bacteria; Pseudomonadati; Pseudomonadota; Gammaproteobacteria; Enterobacterales; Enterobacteriaceae
Description: partial 16S ribosomal RNA
Rfam family: Bacterial small subunit ribosomal RNA
Source: RNAcentral
UGCUGACGAGUGGCGGACGGGUGAGUAAUGUCUGGGAAACUGCCUGAUGGAGGGGGAUAACUACUGGAAACGGUAGCUAAUACCGCAUAACGUCGCAAGACCAAAGAGGGGGACCUUCGGGCCUCUUGCCAUCGGAUGUGCCCAGAUGGGAUUAGCCUAGUAGGUGGGGUAACGGCUUCACCCUAGGCGACGAUCCCCCUAGCUGGUCCUGAGAGGAUGACCCAGCCACCCGUG